This 385-nucleotide ribosomal RNA is filed under the name uncultured bacterium. Its description in RNAcentral is "bacterial SSU rRNA". It matches the Rfam family "Bacterial small subunit ribosomal RNA", at positions 29 to 407 of the family's 1533-position model. The record is from RNAcentral.
AGUGAACGCUGGCGGCAGGCCUAAUACAUGCAAGUCGAACGGCAGCACAGCAGAGCUUGCUCUGUGGGUGGCGAGUGGCGGACGGGUGAGGAAUACAUCGAGACAUGCCUAUUAGAGGGGGAUAACUCAUCGAAAGAUGGGCUAAUACCGCAUAAUCUCUCCGGAGGAAAGCUGGGGACCCGCAAGGGCCUGGCGCUGAUAGAGUGGUCGAUGGUCGAUUAGUUAGUUGGUGGGGUAAAGGCCUACCAAGGCAACGAUCUGUAGUUGGUCUGAGAGGACGACCAGCCACACUGGGACUGAGACACGGCCCAGACUCCUACGGGAGGCAGCAGUGGGGAAUUUUGGACAAUGGGCGCAAGCCUGAUCCAGCAAUGCCGCGUGCAGG